Molecule: non-coding RNA, 117 nt
Organism: Ktedonobacter sp. 13_1_40CM_4_52_4
Lineage: Bacteria; Bacillati; Chloroflexota; Ktedonobacteria; Ktedonobacterales; Ktedonobacteraceae
Source: Rfam
ACCGGUGAUUAUAGCGAAGAGGGUACACCCGUUCCCAUCCCGAACACGGUCGUUAAGCUCUUCAGCUCUGACGAUACUGUAGGGGCAGCCCUAUGGGAAAAUAGGACAUCGCCGUUU